This 253-nucleotide ribosomal RNA is filed under the name uncultured bacterium. RNAcentral describes it as "partial 16S ribosomal RNA". It matches the Rfam family "Bacterial small subunit ribosomal RNA", at positions 524 to 776 of the family's 1533-position model. The record is from RNAcentral.
UACGAAGGGGGCUAGCGUUGCUCGGAAUCACUGGGCGUAAAGCGCACGUAGGCGGAUCUUUAAGUCAGGGGUGAAAUCCCCAGGCUCAACCUGGGAACUGCGUCUGAUACUGGAUGGCUUGAAUUCGGGAGAGGGAUGCAGAAUUCCAGGUGUAGCGGUGAAAUGCGUAGAUAUCUGGAGGAAUACCGGUGGCGAAGGCGGCAUCCUGGACCGACAUUGACGCUGAUGAGCGAAAGCUAGGGGAGCAAACGGG